This 318-nucleotide unclassified non-coding RNA is filed under the name Hevea brasiliensis (rubber tree). The record is from RNAcentral. Lineage: Eukaryota; Viridiplantae; Streptophyta; Magnoliopsida; Malpighiales; Euphorbiaceae.
AUUCAUGGACUGCGUUAUCUGAAUCCCCUCAGCUACAACAUUAUCUUCCGUGGGCAGCGGUGAAGAAAUCGGCUUAAAAGGAGAUCAAUCAGAAAAAUUAGAUUGGUACUCCGUGGAAGGACUCAGAGACGAUGGUGAUGACAAAGGAUGAAAUGCCGGAAUUGAUUCCGGCUUUCCCGUUCACCACGAACGACACGAAAGAAGGGAUAAAUUUUUCCUCCGAUGAAUACUGUUCAAACCAACGCCACGCAGAGAUUGAGAUGAUGAAUCAGAUUGCGAGUCAGGAGUCGUCGCCAUUAGGGUUCAGAGAGAGAAAAG